GUGAGGAAUAUUGGGCAAUGGGCGAAAGCCUGACCCAGCCACGCCGCGUGAGUGAUGAAGGCCUUCGGGUUGUAAAGCUCUGUGGGGAGGGAAGAAAAAGCGCAGGAGUAACUGCCUGUGUGUUGACGGUACCUCCUUAGCAAGCACCGGCUAACUCUGUGCCAGCAGCCGCGGUAAUACAGAGGGUGCAAACGUUGCUCGGAAUUACUGGGCGUAAAGCGCGUGUAGGCUGACAUGCAAGUCGGGUGUGAAAUCCCAGGGCUCAACCUUGGAACUGCACUCGAAACUGCACGUCUUGAGUACUGGAGAGGGAAGCGGAAUUCCGGGUGUAGAGGUGAAAUUCGUAGAUAUCCGGAGGAACACCAGUGGCGAAGGCGGCUUCCUGGACAGUAACUGACGCUGAGACGCGAAAGCGUGGGGAGCAAACAGGGUUAGAUACCCUAGUAGUCC
RNAcentral lists this ribosomal RNA (450 nucleotides) under uncultured bacterium. RNAcentral describes it as "partial 16S ribosomal RNA". It matches the Rfam family "Bacterial small subunit ribosomal RNA", at positions 354 to 796 of the family's 1533-position model. The record is from RNAcentral.